AACGAACGCUGGCGGCAGGCCUAACACAUGCAAGUCGAGCGCUUCACUUCGGUGAGGAGCGGCGGACGGGUUAGUAACGCGUGGGAAUAUGCCCUUCACUAUGGAAUAGCCUUGGGAAACUGAGAGUAAUACCAUAUACGCCCUUCGGGGGAAAGAUUUAUCGGUGAAGGAUUAGCCCGCGUUAGAUUAGAUAGUUGGUGGGGUAAUGGCCUACCAAGUCUACGAUCUAUAGCUGGUUUGAGAGGAUGAUCAGCAACACUGGGACUGAGACACGGCCCAGACUCCUACGGGAGGCAGCAGUGGGGAAUCUUAGACAAUGGGCGCAAGCCUGAUCUAGCCAUGCCGCGUGAGUGACGAAGGCCUUAGGGUCGUAAAGCUCUUUCGCCAGAGAUGAUAAUGACAGUAUCUGGUAAAGAAACCCCGGCUAACUCCGUGCCAGCAGCCGCGGUAAUACGGAGGGGGUUAGCGUUGUUCGGAAUUACUGGGCGUAAAGCGCACGUAGGCGGAUUGGAAAGUAGGGGGUGAAAUCCCAGGGCUCAACCCUGGAACUGCCUCCUAAACUAUCAGUCUAGAGUUCGAGAGAGGUGAGUGGAAUUCCAAGUGUAGAGGUGAAAUUCGUAGAUAUUUGGAGGAACACCAGUGGCGAAGGCGGCUCACUGGCUCGAUACUGACGCUGAGGUGCGAAAGCGUGGGGAGCAAACAGG
Molecule: ribosomal RNA, 704 nt
Filed under: uncultured bacterium
Lineage: Bacteria
Description: bacterial SSU rRNA
Rfam family: Bacterial small subunit ribosomal RNA
Source: RNAcentral